GAUGAACGCUGGCGGCGUGCCUAAUACAUGCAAGUCGAGCGAACAGACGAGGAGCUUGCUCCUUCGACGUUAGCGGCGGACGGGUGAGUAACACGUAGGUAACCUACCUAUAAGACUGGGAUAACUUCGGGAAACCGGAGCUAAUACCGGAUAAUAUUUCGAACCGCAUGGCUCGAUAGUGAAAGAUGGCUUUGCUAUCACUUAUAGAUGGACCUGCGCCGUAUUAGCUAGUUGGUAAGGUAACGGCUUACCAAGGCAACGAUACGUAGCCGACCUGAGAGGGUGAUCGGCCACACUGGAACUGAGACACGGUCCAGACUCCUACGGGAGGCAGCAGUAGGGAAUCUUCCGCAAUGGGCGAAAGCCUGACGGAGCAACGCCGCGUGAGUGAUGAAGGUCUUCGGAUCGUAAAACUCUGUUAUUAGGGAAGAACAAACGUGUAAGUAACUGUGCACGUCUUGACGGUACCUAAUCAGAAAGCCACGGCUAACUACGUG
RNAcentral lists this ribosomal RNA (497 nucleotides) under uncultured bacterium. Its description in RNAcentral is "partial 16S ribosomal RNA". It matches the Rfam family "Bacterial small subunit ribosomal RNA", at positions 28 to 507 of the family's 1533-position model. The record is from RNAcentral.